UACGUAGGGGGCGAGCGUUGUCCGGAUUUAUUGGGCGUAAAGAGCUCGUAGGCGGCUUGGCAAGUCGGGUGUGAAACCUCCAGCUCAACCUGGAGACGCCACUCGAUACUGCCAUGGCUAGAGUCCGGUAGGGGACCACGGAAUUCCUGGUGUAGCGGUGAAAUGCGCAGAUAUCAGGAGGAACACCGGUGGCGAAGGCGGUGGUCUGGGCCGGCACUGACGCUGAGGGAAGCGAAAAGCGUGGGGUAG
This 249-nucleotide ribosomal RNA is filed under the name uncultured bacterium. Its description in RNAcentral is "partial 16S ribosomal RNA". It matches the Rfam family "Bacterial small subunit ribosomal RNA", at positions 524 to 769 of the family's 1533-position model. The record is from RNAcentral.